AGAGUUUGAUCCUGGCUCAGGAUGAACGCUGGCGGCGUGCUUAACACAUGCAAGUCGAGCGGAGCACAUCAUUGGAAUCCUUCGGGAGGAAGAGGAUGUGGCUUAGCGGCGGACGGGUGAGUAACGCGUGGACAACCUGCCCUAUGCAGGGGGAUAACAUCCGGAAACGGGUGCUAAUACCGCAUAAGCGCACGGUACCGCAUGGUACGGUGUGAAAAGCUGAGGCGGCAUAGGAUGGGUCCGCGUUGGAUUAGGCAGUUGGCGGGGUAACGGCCCACCAAACCGACGAUCCAUAGCCGGCCUGAGAGGGUGGACGGCCACAUUGGGACUGAGACACGGCCCAGACUCCUACGGGAGGCAGCAGUGGGGAAUAUUGCACAAUGGGGGGAACCCUGAUGCAGCGACGCCGCGUGGGUGAGGAAGUACUUCGGUAUGUAAAGCCCUAUCAGCAGGGAGGAAAAUGACGGUACCUGACUAAGAAGCCCCGGCUAACUACGUGCCAGCAGCCGCGGUAAUACGUAGGGGGCAAGCGUUAUCCGGAUUUUACUGGGUGUAAAAGGG
This 561-nucleotide ribosomal RNA is filed under the name uncultured bacterium. RNAcentral's name for it is "bacterial SSU rRNA". It matches the Rfam family "Bacterial small subunit ribosomal RNA", at positions 8 to 568 of the family's 1533-position model. The record is from RNAcentral.